RNA transcript from Cryptomeria japonica (Japanese cedar), 5850 nucleotides. RefSeq lists it as uncharacterized. Lineage: Eukaryota; Viridiplantae; Streptophyta; Pinopsida; Cupressales; Cupressaceae. The transcript has 7 exons. The record is from RefSeq and is a predicted model, not a curated record.
UUGACUAUCAUCUUUUAGCUAACAAAAUAUUGAAUUCUUAGAAAUUCUUGAUGAAUGUUGUAAAAGACAUAAUUGAAAUUGUUAUAUACCGGUCCACAUGUCUAGUAAGCUAUAUUGGUUUGAUCAGCUACAUUGUGUCUAUGUUUUAUUUCAAGAAAUAUUAAAAAACUAUUGUUUAUUAGAAUAGUUCUGCAAUUGUCCACUCACUGCAAUUUAUUUUUAGUAUAUUAUUACUUAUUAGUAGAAUCAUUUCUUUUUUUUAAGCCUUCCACAUAGCAUAAAUCAUAGGUUUGUUAAUGAUGCACCAAUAAUGAUGAAAGGGCUUGUCUGCAUGGUACUUAAAUCUCAUGUUGUCUGAUUUCUUAAUCUUCACUGCUCAUACCACCAUUCAAAUCAGAUUAUACUUUAAUUGUCAAAAACAGUGCUUUCUAUUAUCACUUGAUAUUAUAUCUUAAACAAUCUAUUAUCAUGAUUUAAAUACACAUGGCAAUAAAAUCAAAGCUAUAACAUUUAAAAUUGGUUUUCCAGCUACCUAACAUUACAUAUUUCCAUGAUAAGGUGAAACUACUCAAAGAUAAGACUUGCUUGGCUUUACCUAUUUAAGGUUGACCAGGCACCAUAAAGACUUCAAUCGCUAUCAGUGCUCCCUGCGUCAAUUUCGUGAUCCUCCAUGUGGCUUGGCAUUUGCAGUGCGACUUCGUGGGCCUCGGUGAUCCCUUCCAGCAUGUGCACGACUUGACCCAUGCUUGGCCUCGCAUUCUCAUCAUUUUGAAUACAUAACAAGCUCACCAGAGUAGCCCUUCUCACCUCCUCAACACAUGCAUUAUUUACAAUCCUUUUGUCCACAAUAUUCAUCAUGCUCCCUUGCUGAAUCUCCGUUGCAGCCCAGGCGGGAAAGUAAUACUUGCUUGACUCUUGCACGCUCAAGUCCAGAUUUCUUCAUCCUGAUAUUAUUUCCAGAAGAGUCAUUCCAAAACUGUAGACAUCAACCUUGGGAGUGAUUGGAAGACCAGAGAUCCACUCGGGAGCCAAAUACCCUCUCAUUCCUCUUGUUGUCGUCAGCACAUGACUGAAAUCUCUACCCAAAAGCUUUGCCAAUCCGAAAUCCCCCAGUUUGGGAGAAUAAUCGGCAUCUAGAAGAAUGUUCUCGGGCUUAACAUCACCGUGAAUAAUACGAUCUCUGCAUUCCUCAUGGAGAUAAUGUAAGGCUCUUGCGAUGCCUAAGGCGAUACCAAACCGGGUUUUCCAGUCCAGUGUCUUCCCUUGGAUUUCGGAAUUACAUUUGAAGAGGAAGGAAUUGAGAGAACCGUUGGGCAUGCAAUCAUAAACCAGUAACCUGUGCGAUCCUUGUGCACAAAAUCCUCUAAGCCUGAUCAAAUUCACAUGAUGAAUAUUUCCCACGGAGCUGAUUUCUGCCCGGAAUUGUUUUUCGGCAAUUCUUGAAUCCUCGAGCUUCUUGACAGCCACAAUUGUGGUGUCUGUUAGAGUGCCUUUGAAAACUGACCCGAAUCCUCCCCUCCCAAGCUUAUACUUGAAAUUCCUCGUUGCUAUCUUCAACUCCGCGCAACUGAACAUUCUAAGUGAGGUGGUGGAGGAAUCGUCACAGCCUUCAGUAGAAGUUGAUCGAUGCCCCCUCCGUCGCAGUACGUAACUAAUAAGCAAAGCAAUGAAAAAAACUCCAAGCAGUGAGACUGAGACUGAGAGUGAGACUACAAUAGGAGGUGUUUUGCGUUGAGAGGAGAACAAUGGAUCAGGUUCAAAUAUUGAAACAUUAGCUACGCGAACAAAGAGAGCUGGACCUUUCGAUGUGCUUCGCAGGUUGUGUAAAUCACCAGGCCAUAUUUGACAGGGCCCUGCAGGCUCCGUGUAGCGAAACGCGGUGCACGAGCAAUUGCGAAGACACUCUGUCUCACAAAUUUCCCUCGUCUGCGCAGGGUAUGAAUAAGCGGGGUUAUCAGGCAACAACACAUUGGAUUCAAUAAAUCCAUCAGUGCUACCAUUUUGGGAAUCGCAGUUUAAGGGGUUUAAGUGAACACACCCGCUCGACCACCAUUCUUGCAAAUCCCAGAUCUGACUGUCUCUUGGACUGAAGCCCUCCAGACAGCUGCAAGCUCUCCAUUGAUUAGCAUAUAUCACUACUACAUAAUAGAGGCAUUUAAGACAUUAGUUUAAGACAAAACAUUACUUUCGUCUUAAACACAUGUUUUAUGUUUAUUUUAUAUUUUUUUAAGUAUUUUAUUGUCUCAAAUUAAGAGGAUAAGGAAAAACAAUUUUCCGAAAUUAAAACUUUUCUUUUCCCUCUCGCUCAACUCAUUUUCCCCACUUUUUUUUCCACUUUCCCAAGCGACAUCAUAUUGAUUGGCAUGCAACUUUCAAUAGCAGGAAGGCUCCUUCAGAUAUCUGCAAGAGUUGAUGGAGAAUUAAUGGGAGAGGCCGGUUUGUGAAGGAAUCAACGCCAUAACCAUUGGCACACGUCUGUGAAAGGCAAGGGCACUACAUGUUCCUAUGGGAGGUUUAAUGCCUACCAUAUCGAAAGAGCAUAAGUAGUAACCUGAGAGGAGAGGGAAUAGGGGGAGAGAUUGUUGAUUGUUCAUUCUGGAGAGGAGAGGUUGCCCUUUUAGUCAUCACAGAUGCCAUUGAUUCGAACCAAGUCUCUUGUUCCUGCAUUCCUUUAAUCUGCAAAUUUAUAACACUAGGUAUGUGAUUAGUCGAUAUAAUUAUUUUAGGUGGGCUACGCCCAUCAAAAGUGCCUCAUGCAUAUCAGGAAGUGACUAUGCUGAGUCUGUUUUUUAAAAUUUCUGCCAGUCGAGGUUUUUAAACUCCUCUUUAUAAAGUUAAAAAUUCUCCGGAGCUGAUAGAUUCUGGGCGUCCAGUGCAUUUUUUUUUAUCACUAAACUUAUGUUAAAAAUAUUUUAUUUGUUUAAUUUUAGAUUCACUUUUCAUUUACUGUAAAUCGAUUGAAGCAACAGUUGUAUGGGGAUUGGUUUUGGUUCAUCCCCUGCUGUGGUAUUUAGGGUUUCUAAAUAUUUCCUGCAAACUCUGCCCAUUUUUUUUCAUCGGUCUUGUUGGUAGAAGGACAAAAUUUGUGGUAGCCCUAAAAACCUAAUAUUUUUCAGAUCCAAUAUUUACAGAUCCACUUUUCAGAGAGUAGUUUUGGUUCGUUUCAUUUAAAAAAAAAACUGUUCUGGUAGGGUUCUGUAAAGUUUUCCCACAAACUCUGCCUAUUUUUCUUUAUUGGGCAUUGGGUAAACGGGUACUCAAGCUUCUAUUGGCGCUACUGCAAUGCUAGAUCGACUGUGGAAUCAGCUGGAUAAUAUUUUGUGUUCCAUGGUAGGGACCCAUAACUACUAGAGACUAGAAAGAAGGAACGAUGGGUGUAUCCCUGACUAACGAAAUGGUGCAGGACGUUUUCUGACCAAUGUGGGAGCACCCGGACUGAACUAGGACUAGCAGCAAAGAUAAAAGGCAGGUGGGGGCGGGCUCCCAUCUAUGGAUAUCAGCCGAGUCCACCUAUACUUUACCAAUGAUCAUGAGUUAUUAUCAGGUGUCAGUUGCAGGAUUUCUGUUACUAGAUUGAUUAAUCCUGUUUCCACUGCUUUCAUCUUGCUUUUCUGCUUGUUGGUCCUAUAGUUUCCUUAAGGAGCGACUACUUUACCUCCCACCCAUUCCCUUCAUAUUGGGUUUGGUGGGAUGAGGACCCGUAGGGGUUCUAUAGCGGUAGCAGGUGGUUGUGACCAAGGCUCGAAAGAUUAUUAUCUCAUUUGCGUUUGGAGGUUUAUAAUAAGGAUCUUUGGGAAGAAAUUCAAAUGCCCUAUUUUAGAAUAAAUAAUGCAUUUUAGCUUGCCUAUUUGUGGUGUUUAUAGUUGAGGCGCUCAAAGUAAUUGCCAACAAACAGAAGGUUUGAGUUGGAAUUUCAAUUUGGAUCCCUGCAAUAAUGAUGAUACAAACAGACAUCAUCUUGACGACAUAGCUGGGUCACGUGGGGUCAUAUGCAGCUGUGCUUUUUAGCAAAACAUACCACUUGCCAUGUUAAGCUGUGAGUAACUCUUACCUUCAAAAUCACAUUUCUUAAUCAUUUAUGGAAUGAGAUAUAUAUUUACCUUUUUAUAUUGCAGAAUAAUGAUAUAUCUAGAACAGCAAGGGAUUGUGCACCCUGAAUUGGCUAAUAUUACACACUUGCAAAGCCUGAAUUUUAUUACGAAUUGUUGUUUUGGAACACUACCACCAGAGCUAAGGAAGUUGGCAAAUUUGGAUUAACUUAGGUGAUGUAUGUCGAGGAGCAAGGCCUUACUGACAUCAGAAAUCCAUAAGCUUGGAUUGAUGUGACUUCAGAGGAAGCUUUGAAGUAAGGCAUAAGGAUCUUCUCACUCAAUCAGAAGACGUUCGAGGAUAUGUCCUAAUCAUAAUUGCACCAUGGGUCCAAUUCAUAAAAGAUUCAUCUGAAUAGAGGCAGGUUGAUUGGCAAGUGCUUCAGCUAAGCAUAUUGUUGCAAGCAAGCAUAUUUUGAUGUUUGCAAGACACAAUUGAUUAUGGGCUGAAGCUGCUUAGGUUCAGAUUGGUCAAGAAGUGUUACAGACAGGGAAAACACUUCAAGCAUUCACCCGCUGCUAUCUCUUGGACCUACAGGGACAGUCUUCAGUUGCAUUAAGUAUUACUGUAGCUAAAUACAUUGUUGCAAGUGUUGCAUCAAGAGAAGCAGACAAUCCUGUGUUGCAGAUGUUCUCACCAAGUCUCUUGAAGAUUGAGAUAGAUUUGGAGCUAUGGAGAACACCGCCUUGGUUGAGAGGGAGUCUCAACCUCUGUGAUACAUUGUGUUGUAUCAACCACCCUCUGCGGGCAAUGUAAGGUGGUAUUGUAAACUUCUCAGGGAGAAGUGUAAUUAGUAACCAUCCUCUGCGGUCAAUGUAAGAUGGUAUUGUAAAUGCUAAACCAUCCUCUGCGGGCAUGGUAUUGUAAUCUUCUCAGGGAGAAGUGUAAUUGGUAACCAUCCUCUGCGGGCAAUGUAAGAUGGUAUUGUAAUCUUCUCAGGGAGAAGUGUAAUUGUUAACCAUCCUCUGCGGGCAAUGUAAGAUGGUAGAAAAGAUCCUCUCCACCCUCUGCGGGCAAUGUAAGGUGGAUCUAGUCUAUGCUUGUACAACGAACUCCCUUACAAGCAGUAGGUCACAUCAAACUACAUAUAUGUGCAGAUCUAAGUGGUGCUUACAGCGAAUUCCAUAUAUGUGCAGAUCCAAUUAGUGAUCACAGCGAACUAAAUGAACAAUAGAUCUAAUUGGUGAUUACGAAUCUCCAUUGAAGGCUCAAGCAAACGACUGCAACUAGUUGAAAGAUAUAUUUGAAGGCAUCAACGAGUAUAUUGAUGAUGCUGAAAUGAUGGAUGAAAUGACUACUAGGAGCCGUUGUGAAUUGAAACAUUGGCUUGGUCACACUGAGGAUAAGAAUCAAACCAUGUAGGUGCCAAUUCACAAACAUAAAUGUAUCAUUCAAAAUAUAUGUACAUUCUCUUUGUGUUGCUAGAGCCAGAUAGAUAUUGUAAGGUUUUGUCUAAUAAACAUGCAAUUGUUUUAUUUUCAAGGCAACAAAAAGAUGUUCAAUACAAAAAUGCAAAAUGGCUGGCAAUGGUCACAUGUUCUCAACUAUUAUUCAGACUUAAAACUUACUACUAAACCAAAGGGUGUUUUGAGACCCAAGAUUCUAAAGGGUACAAUUAUUCUUAAAGGGUGCUAGCUCAAUGGAAGAGUACCUGCUUUACAAGUGGGAGGAUGGCGUGCCCUAACAUGAAUUAAUCAAUGAUUGUAGUUUACAUUUAACAAUAGUGAUUUAUCUGAAUAGUGAGCUAUUUUUUAAAAUUCA